RNAcentral lists this ribosomal RNA (253 nucleotides) under uncultured bacterium. RNAcentral's name for it is "partial 16S ribosomal RNA". It matches the Rfam family "Bacterial small subunit ribosomal RNA", at positions 524 to 776 of the family's 1533-position model. The record is from RNAcentral.
UACGAAGGGGGCUAGCGUUGUUCGGAAUUACUGGGCGUAAAGCGCACGUAGGCGGAUCAUUUAGUCAGGGGUGAAAUCCCGGGGCUCAACCUCGGAACUGCCUUUGAUACUGAUGGUCUCGAGUCCGAUAGAGGUGAGUGGAAUUCCUAGUGUAGAGGUGAAAUUCGUAGAUAUUAGGAAGAACACCAGUGGCGAAGGCGGCCCACUGGUCCGGUACUGACGCUGAGGUGCGAAAGCGUGGGGAGCAAACGGG